UGGGGAAUAUUGCACAAUGGGCGCAAGCCUGAUGCAGCCAUGCCGCGUGUAUGAAGAAGGCCUUCGGGUUGUAAAGUACUUUCAGCGAGGAGGAAGGCGUUGUGGUUAUUAACCGCAACGAUUGACGUUACUCGCAGAAGAAGCACCGGCUAACUCCGUGCCAGCAGCCGCGGUAAUACGGAGGGUGCAAGCGUUAAUCGGAAUUACUGGGCGUAAAGCGCACGCAGGCGGUCUGUCAAGUCGGAUGUGAAAUCCCCGGGCUCAACCUGGGAACUGCAUCCGAAACUGGCAGGCUAGAGUCUUGUAGAGGGGGGUAGAAUUCCAGGUGUAGCGGUGAAAUGCGUAGAGAUCUGGAGGAAUACCGGUGGCGAAGGCGGCCCCCUGGACAAAGACUGACGCUCAGGUGCGAAAGCGUGGGGAGCAAACA
This 427-nucleotide ribosomal RNA is filed under the name uncultured bacterium. RNAcentral describes it as "partial 16S ribosomal RNA". It matches the Rfam family "Bacterial small subunit ribosomal RNA", at positions 355 to 774 of the family's 1533-position model. The record is from RNAcentral.